UUAAAAAAUGUUUGUUGUAUGAAUGAAUGAAAUCAAACAAACAUAAUGGAAUUCUGGGAAAUGACUAUAAAAGAAAAGAACAGAAUCCAGUUUCAAGCAUCUCAGAAUGUUACCAACAGUGAAGGAAAAGGGCCUCACAUAUAGGCAAAAUAUAGAUGCAGUUCCAACAUGAAGGAUUUUCAUAUCCACUCAUCUUAAGAGAGUUAAUAAUCCCUGCUACUUCAUGGACACAGUGAGAGGAGUUCUUGCCAUCGCAUAUAGUUUCCCAGGAGAUGAAAUCAUUGCACCCUUUUCUGCCAUUGCUGCAGCCAGUUCUAACCUGAGAAUGGGAACCUGGUCCUUGAGAUCGUAGCAGUGGAGGAACGGUAGCAGAGUGAAAAAUGAGUUCCUCGAUAGAGAAUCAAUCAGCAAAGGAGUCCUAGUCUAAGAGAAGAAGAGAAGUCCUGGAGAAAAGAGAAAUUCCUGAACCAUGUUAAGUUUCUGUACAGGCUGCAGUGUACUAGACAGGGUCUGCCCAGACAGUUAUUAAAUGUUUGAUGUGAGCAGUAACAUCUUAGAAAUGAAACACUACAAAUUACAGCUUCGUUUAUUGUUUUGUUAAUUGUCUAGACUUAUGAAAAGUGAUGGAGAAAAUAUUAAUAAUUCAAAUUAAACUUAAAAGUGUGUUGUGUGUACAUUUUUUGAGGGGUGGUUGUUAAACAUUACCAGUAUACUCCUAAGGAAGGGAAGACACCCCCCCCAACUAAAAAGCAGAGAAGAGACAGAAUCAUAAUAUGGAGCAGAGCUGUCAUACUUGCAGAUUCAAAACUCUCAAUUGUGGCCUGAACUAGAUUAAAAUGUAAUUGGG
This is a long non-coding RNA of Phascolarctos cinereus (koala), 847 nucleotides long. NCBI's taxonomy places the organism in Eukaryota, Metazoa, Chordata, Mammalia, Diprotodontia, Phascolarctidae. The record is from Ensembl.